This 1376-nucleotide long non-coding RNA is filed under the name Triticum aestivum (bread wheat). RNAcentral describes it as "long non-coding RNA (TAES_LNC007469)". The record is from RNAcentral. Lineage: Eukaryota; Viridiplantae; Streptophyta; Magnoliopsida; Poales; Poaceae.
UGUCUCCAGUUGCAGGUGUUCGCCACUGUCGUGCGAGGUGAGUGAGAUUCCAGCUCAUUCCCUCCUCCAUCCCCAGAGCACAACUCCAACGAGCUUGUCGACUGGUGAGUCCUGCUAUUGCUGAUGCUCCUGUUAUUCACCAUCAUGUAGCAGUAGAGCAUCCAUGGCAGAUCGUAGAUUACUCAUAGUAGUUUGAAUAAAAUGGUAGCAAUAGCACGGCCGCUGUGGCUAGAAUGCAUGGUGAAAAUUGAAACUGCGUGUAAGAUAGAUUUGGGAGCACACUUUUGUUUUUGCUGGGGAGUCUAGGUGAAUGGACAUGGUUUACUUCGUGAAAGUCUGAAUGUAGUGUUUGGAUUAGGUCUGAAGUUCAAGUUGCUAGCUAGCUGAAGAUCCAUGAGCCAUCUUGCUUAUUGGCAGUCGCCGCGGCAGUGGGCACAGUGAUGGUGUUCGUGCAGCUGCCGAAAGAGUCCCAAUUUUUAUCUGUCUAAAGUGAUUCUGAACUUGUGAAAUUGGUGAUGACAUAUUUAUCUUGAUAAAAUGCAUUUUAGUUCUAAUACCUUGUUUCUGCUCACUUGCGCUAGUAAUUAAGUUCCUAUAAUGAUUUGUACUAUAAAAAUAUCGUUCCACAGUAACAAUAUGGAGAGGUGAGUUUUUACGAUUUUAGUCAAAAACUGAAAAUGUCAUUGCUUCUUGAAAGCAUGUUGUCUUUCUGUAUGAGCUCUUGUAGAUUAUUAUAGAUUAUGUACUUGUUGAACCAUGGUCUCAUUUUUAACAUUCAGAAAAUGAUAUGGUUAAAAAACGAGUUGAUGAACCUUUUCUAACACACAUGUUGAUGAUGCGCAGACAGAAAAGGAGAUGGGAGCCACACUCCUAUAGGCCACGAACCUGAAGCUGACGAGGUAUCGAGAAGAAAUAAGUAUUGGUGAACCAACCCUUGGGUAUUGCUGACAAUUUUGUUACAAAACAAACAUGUACAAAGAUGUUAGACCUGUUACAUUUGCCCGUGUUGCUUUAAUUUGGUAGCCUGCUACAUUUGUCCUCCUGAUUAAAUCUGAGAUCGGAUGGGUGUACAUUUUUGUUUGCAACUUAUGAGUGAUUGGGUGUUCAGAGACUAAAACCAACCAAGUUUAUAGGGUAAAAACCAUUGGCUCAGGUUUCAGUGAAAACCAACUGCUCGGUCCGAUAAAGCCUAUUCCAAAAUUCAAAAUAGAGUGUUUAUGCCCCGAGAAAAAAAUUGAAAAUAUAUCCUUUUCUUGUUUAUGAAAAAGCUGACUUGAUGUCUGUCGAGAAAAUUUCGAAAAGUCCAAAUUCUAAAAAAAUUGAAGUUCAAAUUGUAAAAAACAUGUAUUUCCUCGUUUCUAAAAAAUGAAACGGAG